AUAGCCUUAAGAUAUAACUAAUCUUUAUGCCUUUUAAGCAUAAAAAGCUUGAAGCAGGUUGUC
RNAcentral lists this transfer RNA (63 nucleotides) under Rhizoglyphus robini. Its description in RNAcentral is "tRNA-Lys". Lineage: Eukaryota; Metazoa; Arthropoda; Arachnida; Sarcoptiformes; Acaridae. The record is from RNAcentral.